This 427-nucleotide ribosomal RNA is filed under the name uncultured bacterium. RNAcentral describes it as "partial 16S ribosomal RNA". It matches the Rfam family "Bacterial small subunit ribosomal RNA", at positions 355 to 774 of the family's 1533-position model. The record is from RNAcentral.
UGGGGAAUAUUGGACAAUGGGCGCAAGCCUGAUGCAGCCAUGCCGCGUGUAUGAAGAAGGCCUUCGGGUUGUAAAGUACUUUCAGCGGGGAGGAAGGCGAUAAGGUUAAUAACCUUGUCGAUUGACGUUACCCGCAGAAGAAGCACCGGCUAACUCCGUGCCAGCAGCCGCGGUAAUACGGAGGGUGCAAGCGUUAAUCGGAAUUACUGGGCGUAAAGCGCACGCAGGCGGUCUGUCAAUUCGGAUGUGAAAUCCCCGGGCUCAACCUGGGAACUGCAUUCGAAACUGGCAGGCUAGAGUCUUGUAGAGGGGGGUAGAAUUCCAGGUGUAGCGGUGAAAUGCGUAGAGAUCUGGAGGAAUACCGGUGGCGAAGGCGGCCCCCUGGACAAAGACUGACGCUCAGGUGCGAAAGCGUGGGGAGCAAACA